This 434-nucleotide ribosomal RNA is filed under the name uncultured bacterium. RNAcentral's name for it is "partial 16S rRNA". The record is from RNAcentral.
GCACGAAGUUAGCCGGGGCUUAUUCUGCGGGUACCGUCAUUAUCGUCCCCGCCAAAAGAGCUUUACAAUCCGAAGACCUUCGUCACUCACGCGGCAUGGCUGGAUCAGGCUUGCGCCCAUUGUCCAAUAUUCCCCACUGCUGCCUCCCGUAGGAGUCUGGGCCGUGUCUCAGUCCCAGUGUGGCUGGUCAUCCUCUCAGACCAGCUACUGAUCGUCGCCUUGGUGAGCCAUUACCUCACCAACUAGCUAAUCAGACGCGGGCUCAUCUAUCGGCGAUAAAUCUUUCCCCCGAAGGGCGUAUGCGGUAUUACCCCAAGUUUCCCUGAGCUAUUCCGUACCGAUAGGAAGAUUCCCACGUGUUACUCACCCGUCUGCCACUCUGCAUUGCUGCAGCGUUCGACUUGCAUGUGUUAGGCCUGCCGCCAGUGUUCGUU